GUCUACGGCCAUGCUACCCUGAAGAAGCCCGAUCCCGUCUGAUCUCAAAAAGCUAAGCAGGGUCGGGCCUGGUUAGUACUUGGAUGGGAGAUCACCUAGGAAGACCAGGUGCUGUAGGUA
Non-coding RNA from Pteropus alecto (black flying fox), 120 nucleotides. NCBI's taxonomy places the organism in Eukaryota, Metazoa, Chordata, Mammalia, Chiroptera, Pteropodidae. The record is from Rfam.